RNAcentral lists this ribosomal RNA (507 nucleotides) under Xanthomonas sp. D3(2010). RNAcentral describes it as "bacterial SSU rRNA". It matches the Rfam family "Bacterial small subunit ribosomal RNA", at positions 9 to 504 of the family's 1533-position model. Lineage: Bacteria; Pseudomonadati; Pseudomonadota; Gammaproteobacteria; Lysobacterales; Lysobacteraceae. The record is from RNAcentral.
GAGUUUGAUCAUGGCUCAGAGUGAACGCUGGCGGUAGGCCUAACACAUGCAAGUCGAACGGCAGCACAGAGGAGCUUGCUCCUUGGGUGGCGAGUGGCGGACGGGUGAGGAAUACAUCGGAAUCUACUUUUUCGUGGGGGAUAACGUAGGGAAACUUACGCUAAUACCGCAUACGACCUACGGGUGAAAGCAGGGGACCUUCGGGCCUUGCGCGAUUGAAUGAGCCGAUGUCGGAUUAGCUAGUUGGCGGGGUAAAGGCCCACCAAGGCGACGAUCCGUAGCUGGUCUGAGAGGAUGAUCAGCCACACUGGAACUGAGACACGGUCCAGACUCCUACGGGAGGCAGCAGUGGGGAAUAUUGGACAAUGGGCGCAAGCCUGAUCCAGCCAUACCGCGUGGGUGAAGAAGGCCUUCGGGUUGUAAAGCCCUUUUGUUGGGAAAGAAAUCCAGCCGGCUAAUACCUGGUUGGGAUGACGGUACUCAAAGAAUAAGUCAUCCGGCAACUUC